UUAUCUGCAAUAAAAUUAUAUUCACUAACAAAAUAAUCAUCUGAAUGGUGGAAAAUAGAUUCCAAGGAAGCACAUUUUUUACACUAGCACAGUAAGGUAAGUGGAACUUUUCUCUAUUCCUUUGUGGUCCUGGAAUAAGGGAGAUAAAUCAAUACGCUGCAACAUUUUUUUUUUCAAAUAGUUGCUAAAGAGCUCUGGCAUGACUGUCUUUAUAACUUAUUCUGAAUUGUUCAUACCAUUCACGAAAUUGAAAUUUUACAAGGGAACUAUUGCAUUUUUUACACAUAACAAAAGGAUUUGAAAUUCAGAUUUAACACCAAUCAUUUCAUGCUGUUACAUUUUAAAAGACUAGAUAAUGCUUCCCAAUCUUUCAAAUUUGAAUGUACGACAUCAUUA
Non-coding RNA from Biomphalaria pfeifferi, 396 nucleotides. The record is from the annotation of a GenBank genome assembly. Lineage: Eukaryota; Metazoa; Mollusca; Gastropoda; Planorbidae.